GAUCAUGGCUCGGGAUGAACGCUAGCUACAGGCUUAACACAUGCAAGUCGAGGGGCAGCAUGGUCUUAGCUUGCUAAGGCCGAUGGCGACCGGCGCACGGGUGAGUAACGCGUAUCCAACCUGCCCACCACUUGGGGAUAACCUUGCGAAAGUAAGACUAAUGCCCAAUGAUAUCUCUAGAAGACAUCUGAAAGAGAUUAAAGAUUCAUCGGUGAUGGAUGGGGAUGCG
This 229-nucleotide ribosomal RNA is filed under the name uncultured bacterium. RNAcentral describes it as "partial 16S ribosomal RNA". It matches the Rfam family "Bacterial small subunit ribosomal RNA", at positions 15 to 235 of the family's 1533-position model. The record is from RNAcentral.